Molecule: non-coding RNA, 4181 nt
Organism: Schizosaccharomyces pombe (fission yeast)
Lineage: Eukaryota; Fungi; Ascomycota; Schizosaccharomycetes; Schizosaccharomycetales; Schizosaccharomycetaceae
Source: the annotation of a GenBank genome assembly
CUAUCAAGUUCCAGCUCAUCCAAAGCGACUUUGCGUUGCUCUUGUAACCGACUUUCAAGAAUUUCGGCUUCUAUUUUUUCUUGUUUUUCUAAUUCCUGAAGCUCCUGCUCUCUCCUUUUCGCAAGUUUUUCUUCCAAUUCCGCGCGUUUAACUUUCCUUGCAGAUUUUUGCUCACGUUCCGACUCUUGCUGAAAUUUGCCCAAAGUUCCCAGUAAAGCUCCGAACAUCCUUCUUCCUCGUUUCUGUUCGACUGAGUUUUCACUGGUGUUCUUUUCUUUUACUUGACGAUGGUCAUCUUCUUCCAUUGAGCCUUCUGGCUGAUCAAUUUCCAUAUGGGAGUCUUCAUUAUUAACUUUUCCGUCUAAGAUUGGAGCUUCCGAUAUCUUAACAUUUUGCACUGUCGAUUUUGCAGACAAUUCCUCGCGCCUCUCAUCCAUCGCUCUAGUUACAGUUUGCGUCGGUCAUUAGCGAUGCACUCUACACUUUAUGAAGUAAAAGGUCCUAACACUACAACAGGAUUAUCGCUUACAAAAUCUUCAUUAUAUAUAAAAAGUAGCACAAUAAUUACAGUAAAGCGAUGAAUAUGAACAAAAAAUUUAAAUUAGUAAAAUUAAUCCUCAGACAAGGAAAAUAGUAAUAUACAUGCUAAAUGGAAACACUGGAAGAAGACUGAAGCCAAAGAUGGAGUUAAGGGGUUAAAAAAAUGAAUUUGUAAAGUCAAACGAUAGCUCUACUCACGCAAAAAAUCAUCGGGGAGUUCAACAACACUGUAACGAUGUCCAUUCACAGUCAUUAUAUUAGCAAUAUUCGGCAAUUUAGCAGGCGAUUUCCUAACUACCUCAGGAUUCUUUCCAACAGUCUCAGUUUCUGCUUUUCCAGAGUCGUUUUCAACUGACUUCAAUUUCGUAUUUUGCACAGACUCCACAGUCUUACCAACUCGUAGAUUGCUUCUUCGAACACUAGGAUUUGAGUGGUUACGGAAAUUAGAUUCCAAAAUUGUAUCUUCACUAGCAUUUUCUUUUCCCAUAACGGAAGACGGGAAAACAGAUCGAAGGUAAUCCUGUAGAUGACUGUCCAUUUCUAAAUCCUCCUUCAAGAAUUUAAUAGAAAUUUUAAAUUUCUGAAUUUCUAUCAUCUGGGCUAGCAUAUUUUUCUUCAACGUAUUCGAACAUCUUGCUAAACGAAUUCGGGUCCGAGAUUGAAUAGGUUCAAGAUGUAAUAUAUUGGCAGCAUUUCUUCUCUGUACAGUCAUUUUUGAUUCCCCCUGCCUUAAAGCUUCUUCUAAUUUAUAAAUUCUAUUUUGCACAAUAUACACACGAACUUUGGAACACUCUAAUACUUCACUCCUGGUUUCCUUUGAAGCUUUCGACAUCGCAUCCGAAUCUUCGUAUAUGUCGGGAAGAACACUAACGGAAGCCUUGAUGCUCUUAUCAGACGAUUCAACACACGGAAGCCUCUCACGAGGAGCUAGACCCGCAGUAGCAAACGUACUCACAAAAUUUAUCUUCACCAACCAGUCAUUUAAUUCGUCUACAUUAGUAACAGAAAAGACAUGAGUUCUCUGAUUUUUUUGCUUGACACUGAAGGAAUACAGUUCAUUUUCUAUACGAGAACCAUCACCGUAUGCAACUAAAUCAGACAAUGGGAUAAUGUAAUCAGCAGAAAGUGAAGUUAAAUGAGGCGAAAAAUAGCAAGGAGAAAAAGAAUGAGAUCUUUUGAAGUCUUCCAACUGAUCCAGUAAUCCACUUAUCCAAUAUACGUUUUUGAAGAACAUCAACUGCGAGCUUGUUAAAAUGACACCCACCUCUCUGUUGGAAAGAAGGCGAUCUUUUCGAACCUUCUCAUUUUGAAUGAGUAUGCCAAGUUUGAAAACUUUGACGUUUAUUAUCGCAGGAUUGGUGCUUUCGCUUUCUGCACUCGGUUCAAAGUGAUAAGAAAACGCUUGGGGCUGUGAUCGGUGCGAGACGAUCUGCAAAAAUGGGGCUCUAGCAAACUCUUUGUAUAAGUCAUCAGCAGUGCGAGUAGGAGAUUCAAUACUCGUACGGACACUGUCAAUUUUUUUUAAGUCUAAUAUAGAAUCUAGAUUAAUACGGAAACCCGUCAACUGUUCUUGUAAAGCCUGAUGGUCACUUUCGGUAGCAAAUGUGUUUCGUUUAGUAAGACGAAAUUGAGAAUCUCCUAGUCUUUGUGACAAAGAUGGUUUUUCAUUAGAAGGAGAAGUCACAACACAACCAAUAUGCUCUACAUGAACAAAUGGAGUGUAGGUAAUAUUAUCGUAAAAGCAUUCUAAUAUCUCUGGAAGAAUGGUUGGCAAAUUAGUAUUAGAGAUGAACUCGGCACGAGUCAUCUUUUGUCGAUUAUGGAUGUUGAAAAAGUCCGUAUGCAAAAUCAUUAAAGAAAACGUAAGUAUGUAACAUUCAUCAGAAGAAUCGUAUAAAUCGGGAUUGCAAUGAAAGUAUUGGUCUGAAAAUGUGCUCAAAACUCUAUCGAUUUGCUGGGUCUCAUUAGGAAGAACAUAGACAGCAAGAAACUUGCGAAGAGCCAUGUCUAACGAAAUACAUUUGAAGUUGACCACAGACAAAUACUUUCUCAGGCAAAGUUUUAGAAGUGAUGAAGUUCCCUGCGACAAUAUGGCAGGAGUAAACUGCUUAGGAAUUGUAAAUUCCACCUUCUCCAAGAUGGUUUCAACGGUGUCAUGCUGAUCUAUAUCUGGCAGUGCGAAAUCCGAAAGAGUAACAGAAUUAUGUUUAUGGUCACAAUUUGGUGCAGCACCAAAAUCUUCAGAUACGCUAGACUGAUUUGAAGCCGGCGUUCGCGCACUGAAGUUUGAAGAAAGAGAAUUUACAGACUUCGAACGAGGUAAGUAGGUAGAGGAGUCGAUUGAAGAACGGGAAGGAGAUCCGAAUGUCGAGCCCGCAUAAGAGCCGGAUGGAAAAAUUGAAAGAGUAGAAGCAGCUAACUCAGCGAUGGUAGAGGUAUGCGUUGGAGAUAACUGCGAAUCUGUGGGACUAGCAUUUGAGGAAAAGAUUGUCGACCAAUUGGAAAGAAAGAUUGAAGACUGACUAGAAGGACGUGAUUUUUUAUCAGGCAAGUUCAACGAUGCAUCAUCGCCAUGUCCGUUGGAGGAGGAGGUUGGUAAGAAAGGGGAGGAGCAUUGUGACGAGCUAGAUUUGGAAGAGCGCCAACGCUUCGGUAUGGUGAGCUUCAAGGCUGAAGAGACUUUAUUGGAAAGUUUCUGGGAAGAGGAGUGACCAGAUUUUGAAUCCAAAUCGGUAGUCGAAUCUCCGGUGUAUGCGGAAGAGACUGGGGAGUGUUGAGAGGAGACCUUGGGGGUGUCCGAAGUGAUCGUAACUUUUGGCUUAGAUUUGGACUUUCUAUUUUUUUUCUCCAAAGCGCUACGCAGGGCAGACUUACCCUUUCUCCGGGAAGGAAGGGGAGGAGACGGCUUAUGAGCAGAAACCAUCUCAUCUAAACCAUGCAAAGCGGAAGAAGAAGCUAUACGAGAAGAUUCGUCCAUGUUCUAUUAAAAAGGGAAUUUUAAAUUUAUUAAAAGAAAUAAAAAAAAAACUUUUUUAAAAUUUCCUACGAUUAAAGAGUUCAGAACCUGGAAAACAAAAAUGCGUCUCGAAAACCCUGAGCAACACAAACGACAUCAAACUUCAUGAAGAAGCAAUUGCACAGGAUGAUUGUGAUUAACUGAUAGGGUUCUCUUUUCUAAACAAAAAAAUAAAAGAGUAUCUUUUCAGCGAAAAAUGAAGUUUUUAAAUAAUAAAAGCGUAGAUCAUAGCCGCAGUUCGUUUUGGAAGAAGAGAGCGAUUCUUGAAGAGUAUAAUUACAGCAGACGACGGAAUGGCAAAGCAGUAAAGAGGAAAAGACUUAAAAAACCUAUUUUUCCCUACUAAGCACAAGAAAUGAAUAAAACUAAUUAUGCCUUGAAUGAUAGGAUGAGGGGGGUAAAUAUUGACUGUGGAAGAUGAGUGAGAAACGAUGUAACGAUUCAAUGGUACGCAGCGAGGCGGGCAUUGGUAAUACUGAACGCAGAGGCAAGUGCCCCCAUAAAAAAGAGGACUUAUGUGGGGGUGGAUCGACUAGUUAAUCCUAAUGUAAACAAUGGAUGGAAAGAACUAAAAAAUGAUGAAGAAGAACAUUAAGAGAAAAAACAUAUAGUAAGUUAUAUACUA